CAUUACUGUCUCUUUCAACAGUGUCUUUUUCAUUUUUCUUAUGUCAUCAUGAAUUUAUUUAUAUUUUCUAUUAUUCGUCAAAGACCUGAGCAUAUACCUAUCCCCCUCUAAUAGUUCAGUUAUUUGAAACGGCCCCCUAAACUUUGGACUUAACUUUGUCUGAUGCCUUUCUUCAUUUUUUAACAAUACGAAAUCUCCAACCUUGCAUCCAACAAUUUUAGCCUUGUUUUUAUCAAAUUGCUCCUUGUUAUAUGUUGCUGCAGCUGAAAUAUUUUGACCUGCGCGUGUUCUUACUUCUGCCAAGUCGACCUCUUCUACCAUAUCGCAGGGUGGAAGCAACCCCAACGGGCGAGCAACUUUGCCGAUAAACAAUUCCAAGGGGCUUGCUUUUGUCACUCGACUAACCGUACAGUUUAAGGCUAAUUGAACGGCCGUUAAUAAAUUCUUUAAGGUGCUCAUAAUGCGUUCAACUUGACCAUUAGCCCUACUUGCACCUGUCGCAAUCAAAUGUAAAUUAAUUUUUUGUUGUCACUAAAUCUAGUACUGGCGAAACAUCUGCCCUGAUCCGAUAUUAUGCGAUUUGGUACUCCAAACUGAGAAAUAGCAGACGUGACAGCAUUUAUGCAAUUUUCAGCAUCAAUUUUAAGCGUAUGGGUUAAAUAAACAAAUUUAGUGAAAGCGUCCACCUGAACACUGAUAUAUUCCUUCUGAUCAGACUUGCCACUCAACUUUUCAGUUAUGUCAAUGUGAAUUGUGUGCCAAGGUGUAUUUACUUUUGGUAUUGGAUGAAGACUUACUUGAACUUUACCCGAAGAAGACUUUGACAUUUUACAUGUAAUGCAGUUAUCAACAAACUUCCGAAUAUACUUGGACAUAUUCUUCAUAGUCUUCUCCCAUCCCAAAUGCAUGAUGGACUCAUGAAUUUGAUUUAUUACGGACCAUCUAAAUGGUCGAGGAACAAUUGAUAAGGUUCGAGUUCUACCAUUUCGCUGAAUUUUUCGAUAAAGUAUUACUGCUCUCAAUUCAAUCUUGACGCUGUUCGGACAAAAGCAAAUUCUCAGAUAUUUCCGCCAAAUUUACUCGUUUUUCUAGAGUUUUGCAAGUCAAUUCUGCUGAAGGCGAAUUUCUUGAAAAGAAGUCAACAUGAGACAUUCGCUUGCCUUCUUUAUAUUGUAUGUCAAAUGUAAAGGACUGUAAAUACGCCUACCAUCUUUGCACCCUGGGACAUAGAUCCUUUUUAGUUCUUGAUGCUUUAAGUGAGUUACAAUCAGUGAAGACAACAAAAUUUCUACCCAAUAGAUAAUGGCGAAAAUGUUUUAUAGACAAAACAACAGCAAGAGUUUCUAGUUCAUAAGAAUGAUACCGUGAUUCAGCCGGAGAAGCAGCCUUACUAUAAUAUUCAAUGACAUGAGACUUGUUUUUGAUUUUGUGUAACAAGAUAGCACCGUAUCCCCGUGAACUUGCAUCAGUAUGCAACUCGAUCGGAUGGUUCGGAUCAAAAAUUACUAAAACUGGCUUUUGUGUAGAAUAGAAAUAACUUUUUGUCUAAUUUCUUCAUGUUCCGAUCUCCAAACAAAAUCAUUCUUCUCCGAAGUCAAAAAAUAUAACGGUUUCAUAAAACAGGAAAAUCCUUGCAUAAAUUGCCUGAAGUAAGACGCUAAUCCAAUAAAUUGGCGUAAAGCAGAGAUUGUCUUAGGAGGUGGCAAGGUAGUUAACGCUGUAACUUUAAGCGAAUUCGGGCGGAUUUCACCUGCACUCACUUCAUACCCCAGAUAUUGAAUUGUUGACUUGAGAAAAGAACAUUUUUUACAUUGAAUGAGAAUCCAGCCUCCGUGAGACAAUUAAGAGUAAUUUGCAACCUUUCCAAAGCCUCACUUUUUGUUGCAGCAGCCACCAUUACGUCAUCCAUAUAAACGACAACAAACGUAUUUGCAAGGUCUCCAAGAGCUUGCAUGACUGUGCGUUGAAAUACUGAAGGUGCGUUUCUGAGCCUAAAAGGCAUUGCCAAAAAUUCAUAUUGCCCGUCUGGUGUGACAAAUGCUGUACACUCUACCGAUUCUUUGUUAGCGCCAUCAAGAUCCGCGUUGAAUUUUGGUAGCACAAUUGUUUUUUUAUUUGUUGUUUCAGGUGUCGAUGAUUGUACAGCUUUAAUAAGCUCGAUCAAAUUUUUAUUUUGCAUUUCCAUUAAAAUUCGCCAUGGUCCAUCUGAUUCAUUAGGCAGCGAGCCAGAUCCCACUUCUGAUUGAUAUUAUUUUACAACAUUGUAAUAGCGCAGCGAGUUUCGCUUUCACACGCACGAAAUCCUGAAAGCAACUACCAGCGUCAUCCCUUCUUCUUUCUGUGCUUACCACCGAACCACACUUGACCACAGCGACACAACGCUGUCGCCCCGCUUAAACGGUACUUCUUAAGCGACAACACGCAUACAACCAAACAAAGCACCGUUAGAGGCUGAUGCAAUAUUACUUUAAUGAUGAAAUUAGUCUUCUGGAAUUUUCUAGAGACGUAUACCCAUACACUCAUACCAACAUCCACACACUCUUAGUGUGCGCCGACAUGUACAAAAUAUCAGAUAAUUACAUUUUUUAGUUUUCUCAGAAAUUUUUUUUUCAAAAAUCGUGUUUUUUCGGCUUUUUAACUGCAUAUAACCCACAAGUCCCCUGACUUAAUUUUAGACAAUUCUUGUAAAAUUACUUCAUUAAUCAUAGUUUUGGUAGUUGUGUUUUCUUUUCUGCGCUCAAGUAGGUCGCUCAAGUGCUCGAAUCGAUUAAGGUACGGUGAUUGUGGCAUUUUAACCUGAUUUCGAACAUUAUAUAACAGCCAGAGCUUCACGUUCCCUUCUGUGCCAAGUUUUGAGCAUUUUUAUGAAGGUUUUCCCGUAUUAUACCCAUAUAGUCCAUGUGGGUCUUAUUGGAAUCCAAUCUAUAAAUUUAAGAUUCCCAACGCCUUCUGCAGCAAUACAGACCCAAUUUAAUACUCCACCACCUCUGUGUUUCACAGUCGGAUAAAAAUUUUUUGUUGAACUAGUGGAACACACUUUUUUUCUUCCCUCUUUGUUUAAGUCGGAGGACGACCAGCUCGGGGCUUGGACAACCUUUUGAAUGGAGGAGUUGGCUCAACCCACAUCAUUUACCCUCAAGAAAUAACAUCGUUAUAAUUUAUCUUUUCACUGCAAAAAUUUCCUUUCCUUUGGGCGCCAUCAUGACAGAAAUUACAUAAAUUGCUUUUUGUUUUGUUUGUUUGUUCCAAGAAAUAAAUGAUUAAAUGUUUGUGUACGCUGAA
Long non-coding RNA from Drosophila elegans, 3282 nucleotides. RefSeq lists it as uncharacterized. The transcript has 2 exons. Lineage: Eukaryota; Metazoa; Arthropoda; Insecta; Diptera; Drosophilidae. The record is from RefSeq and is a predicted model, not a curated record.